Phyllopteryx taeniolatus (common seadragon) is the source of this 3810-nucleotide RNA transcript. It is a transcript of the gene named proto-oncogene vav-like, with no coding region annotated. The record is from RefSeq and is a predicted model, not a curated record. NCBI's taxonomy places the organism in Eukaryota, Metazoa, Chordata, Actinopteri, Syngnathiformes, Syngnathidae. The transcript has 30 exons.
GAGUCAAGUGGUUUGCUCCAGAAUGUCGCACCUACCCGUCGGCGGGACGCACCAAGGAAUUCUGGGAGCGCUUCCGUGCGAUGUUUCACUUUCUUCUGCUUUUCCCGAGUAGAACUUGUCAAGUCAGCACAUUAAGCGUCUGUCUCUCAACAUCUGUCCUCGCAGGGAAGCCAAUGGGACGGCACGGCGGCGACGCCACCGGCCAAUCGGAGCACGGGCGAUGGGGAGCAGGUCCGGGCGGAUCCCGGCAUGUCAAAGACGAGGAGAAGGGUGUGCGUGUGAAAAUCUAGCUGUCAACGUGUCACAGCCCAGGAAAGAAGCCACGACAUUUUAGCGAGACUCUGGAUAAAGGUGCGUGUCAUCGUAAAGCAAUGGAAGCGUCCACCCCCCUCUGUAAUCAUCAUGGUACCACCCGCUGCGUGUCAACCUCCGUGAACGAGCAAGACGUCUGUGAAGCCGGUUCGGGGUGCCCCCCCCCCCCCCGCCUCCUGCCCGAUGACAGCUGGGAUAGGCUCCGGCACGCCCGCGACCCUCGUGAGGAGAAGCGGCUCAGAAAAGGAAUGAAUGGCUGGAUGGAUGUGAUCUACGUCACGAGCGAAGAUCUCCGCCUUGCCUUUCGGCUCCCGAGCCAUCGCUGUCAACGUAACAAAGGAAGUGCAGAGACGGCGCAAAUGAACACCCACCGUGGAACUGAGGGCCAACGGCACAGUGUGAUAAUGAAGUCGCCGACGAGAGACGAGCGUCCACGCCGAAGAACCGUCUAAAGGACCUCAGCAACUCACAGGAUGGAGUUGUGGCGCCAGUGUGCAAAAUGGCUGAUCGAGUGCCGGGUCCUGCCGGAGACGCACCGCGUCACGUGGGAGGGUGCGCAGGUGUGCGACCUGGCGCAGGCCCUAAGAGAUGGCGUGCUGCUAUGCCAGCUGCUCAACAACCUGCUGCCUCAGGCCGUCAACCUGAGAGAGAUCAACCUGCGCCCACAGAUGUCCCAGUUCCUGUGCCUCAAGAACAUCCGGACCUUCCUGGUAGUGUGUCAGGACAAGUUCCAGCUGAAGAAGAACGAACUGUUUGAAGCCUUCGACCUGUUCGACGUGCGCGAUUUUGCCAAGGUGCUAAACACUUUGUCCAUCCUGUCUCACUCACCCAUUGCCGCACAAAGAGCAUUUCAGCCUUUCCCUUUGGGAGGAGACAUUUCUGAUGAUGACAUCUACAACGGCCUGUCCGACAAGAUAGACGACACGGUAGAUGAAGCAGACGAUUUGUACGACUGUGUGGACGAGGAGGGGGCCGAAGGGGAUGAAAUCUAUGAAGACUUGAUGAGGACAGUUGAACCCGAAACUAAGUGCGGAGUGGACAAGCGAGAGUGCUGCCUUCAGGAGAUCAAACAGACGGAAGGAAAAUACUCGGCUACUCUGGAAUCUAUUUUACAGCACUUCAAGAAACCUCUGGGAAAGUUCCUCGAGGCUCAGGACAUGGAGAGCAUCUUUGUCAACAUACAGGAUUUGGCCAGCGUUCAUCGAGAAUUUUUGGACGAGAUCCAGAGCUCGGUGGGGAACGGAGCCAAGAAUUUUCACCAUGUGUUUGUCAACUACAAGCAGAGGCUUCUGCUCUACGGCCGCUACUGCAGUCAAGUGGAAACGGCGACCAAGCAUCUGGACAAGCUGGCCAGUACGAGGGAGGACGUCAGGAUGAAGCUGGAGGAGUGUUCCAAGAGAGCAAACAGCGGCAGAUUCUCUCUCAGGGAUCUGCUUAUGGUGCCCAUGCAGAGGGUCCUUAAAUACCCCCUGCUAUUACAGGAGCUGGUGAAACACACCACCGACCCGUCAGACAAGGAAAACCUGCGCACGGCUCUCGAUGCCAUGCGAGACCUGGCACAGUGUGUCAACGAGGUGAAGCGAGACAACGAGAUUCUCAGGCAGAUCACCAGCUUCCAGUUGUCUAUCGAGAACAUGUCACAGUCCUUGGCCCUCUUUGGCCGGCCCAAAAUGGACGGAGAGCUGAAGAUCAGCAGCACAGAAAAGAAGUCCAAACAGGAAAGAUACGCUUUCCUCUUUGACAAGGCCUUGUUUGUGUGCAAGAAGAAGAGCAGCGAGACUUUCGAGUUGAAGGAGAUCAUCGAGCUCCAGCACUACCAAGUCCGAGACGAGACAGCGGGGGGGAAGGACAAAAGGAAGUGGUCCUACCUGUUCCUCCUCCUGGACUCCUACGGGAAGUGCGGCUACGACUUAUACUUCAAAACACGAGAACUAAAGAAGAAAUGGCUAGAACAGUUUGCGAUGGCUCAGUCCAACCUGUGCCCCGAGAACGCAGCGGCGAACAACCACGAUUUCCAGAUGCACAACUUUGAGGAGACGGCGUGUUGCAAGGCGUGCUCCAUGAUGCUGAGAGGGAUUUUCUUCCAGGGCUACCGCUGCACGCGCUGCAAAAUAGCCGCCCACAAAGAGUGCUUGGGCAUAUUGCCGACUUGCGGACGCAGCUCAGACCACCCAGGCACCGCAAGAAAGAAUAGGACACAAAGGUCCUCAGGGAAUACCGGCAUUGGGUUUCCCAUGGUGGAGGCGUGCCAGGAGUACUUCGGCCUGCCGCCGCCGCCCGCCAGCUUUGGGCAUCCGCUGUACCUCUCUAAGGGCGACGUAGUGGAACUGACGCGGGUGGAGGUGGACUUAUCGUGGUGGGAAGGCAGAAACUUGACUGGAGGACAGGUGGGCUGGUUCCCCUGCAGCAGAGUUAUACCCUUCUCACGUAGGCCCACCCCGGACCUGUCUGCUUUCAGCUGGUUUGCGGGGAACAUGGACCGACCCGCCGCCAAGAACCUGCUCAUGUCCCGCUCUGAAGGAACCUACCUGGUCCGGCAGAAGGACGGCGGAGAAUUUGCCAUCAGCAUUAAGUUCAGCAUGGACAUCAAACAUAUUAAAAUCACCUCCUAUGAUGGCCUAUUCCGCAUCAAUGAGAAGAAGGCCUUCAAGGGUUUGGUGAUGAUGUGGUUCUGUUGGCUUCAUCGAGCCAUGAUCUACACCUCUCACUGGAGCAGUUGGGAUGAGAAUCAGCACCUCCAAAUCUGUGACCAUGGUCCUCAGUCGGAAAAGGGUGGCGUGCCCUCUCCAGGUUGGGGAUGAGAUCCUGCCCCAAGUGGAGGAGCUCAAGUAUCUUGGGGUCUUGUUCACGAGUGAAAGAAGAAUGGAACGGGAGACCGACAGGCGGAUCGGUGCAGCGUCUGCAGUGAUGCAGACUUUGUAUCGGUCCAUUGUGGUGAAGAAGGAGCUAAGCCGAAAAACGAAGCUCUCAAUUUACCGUUCCUCCCCUCACCUAUGGUCACGGGCUGUGGGUCGUGACCGAAAGAACAAGAUCCCGGAUGCAAACGGCCGAAAUGAGUUUCCUCCCCAGGGUGUCCGGGCUCUCCCUUAGAGAGAGGGUGAGAAGCUCGGUCAUCCGGGAGGAUCUACAGUCCCUGCUCCUCCACAUCGAGAGGAGCCAGAUGAGGUGGCUGGGGCAUCUGAUUCGGACGCCUCCCUGGUGAGGCCAUGUCCCACCGGGAGGAGACCCCGGCGACGACCCAGGACACGCUGGAGAGACUCCGUCCUUCGGAUGGCCUGGGAACGCCUCAGAAUCCCCCCGGAAGAGCUUGAUGAAGUGGCUGGGCGUCCCUGCUAAAGCUAGUGCCCCCGCGACCCGACCUCGGAUAAGCGGAGAUGAUUGAGUUCUAUCAGCAGAACUCCCUGAAGGAGUGUGUCAAGGACGUGGACACCACACUGCACAUGCCGUACAAGCAAGCUGAGCAGAGCAACGACCACAGGCCCCGUGCCGUGCCCAAAG